This 191-nucleotide non-coding RNA is filed under the name Mycoplasmatota bacterium. RNAcentral describes it as "Tenericutes bacterium T-box sequence". It matches the Rfam family "T-box leader". Rfam says of the family: Uncharged tRNA acts as the effector for transcription antitermination of genes in the T-box leader family. The record is from RNAcentral. Lineage: Bacteria; Bacillati; Mycoplasmatota.
AGUAACACGUAGAAGAGAUUAGUACUUCAUACUUCCUGUUUAGAGAGUUCGCGGUAGGUGCAAGCGAAUCUGAAAGUUGAACGAAUCUACUCUUUAGUGGUGCUAAUCACACCCGUCGCCCCGCGUUAAGGGAUUCAAGGGCUAGAGUUUUCUCUAGAACUAAGGUGGUACCGCGAUGACUCGUCCUUAGA